GACUUCUCGACGGCCAUUUUGGAGAGGAAGAAGUCGCCGAAUCGACUGAUCGUUGACGAGGCUAUUAACGAUGACAACUCGGUCGUUUCGAUGCAUCCGGAAACCAUGGAGAAACUCCAGCUUUUCCGCGGUGAUACCAUUCUCGUUAAGGGCAAGAAACGGAAAGAUACAAUCUGCAUUGCUCUUGCUGAUGACACCUGUGA
This 203-nucleotide unclassified non-coding RNA is filed under the name Hevea brasiliensis (rubber tree). Lineage: Eukaryota; Viridiplantae; Streptophyta; Magnoliopsida; Malpighiales; Euphorbiaceae. The record is from RNAcentral.